This 112-nucleotide ribosomal RNA is filed under the name Caerostris darwini. Lineage: Eukaryota; Metazoa; Arthropoda; Arachnida; Araneae; Araneidae. The record is from RNAcentral.
AACGGCCGUACCAUGCUGAAUAUACCGGUUCUCGUUAGAUUACCGAAGUCAAGCAUCGUUGGGCGCGGUCAGUACUUGGGUGGGUGACCACCUGGGAACACUGCGUGCCGUU